Molecule: ribosomal RNA, 2701 nt
Filed under: Triticum aestivum (bread wheat)
Lineage: Eukaryota; Viridiplantae; Streptophyta; Magnoliopsida; Poales; Poaceae
Description: partial small subunit ribosomal RNA
Source: RNAcentral
CGAUUUCCCUUCCUAAUCCAUGGACAAUUUUUUCUAGAAAUAUGAACUUAUUUUGUUUUUCCAUUGAAGCGUCUAAUUUUCCUGGAAUAUUUAUUUAUUGAAAUAACUAACUAAAUCAUAUAUGGAAGUACUUGAGUGGUACAUUGAGUAUAUGCUAAUGAUUUGACCAACUUUGCUCUAUUAGUGUGUAAUUCAAAAUUGAUACUUCUCAUUUGAAAGUUUUUAGUUGUAAUUAUGAUUUGUACUCCAUUAUCAAUAUGCUAAUGGAAUUAUUGAUCAAAGUUUAUUAAUAGUAUGAGCAUUGUCCAAAAACAUUUUUUAGGCAGUAGUAAGGCUCGAGCUCACUAACACCGGCUUUUGUGACAUUCUCUUGCCCCUUCCACAAGCAAGUCCCACGUUAGGGUUUCCCUGCCUCCCGUCAGCGCCGUCGUCGAUCUGUCUCGCCAUGGAGGUGUGUUUGCCUUCGACGCGUGUUCUGGGGGGGGGGGGCAACCGUCACACUUGUGAAUCCCGGCCCAUGACAUGGGAGGGCCACUGCUUCAUUUUCAUGUGUUUUUUGAGUUUGUUAUGGGUCUAUGUCAAAGGCAAACACAUGUCGAACACACGUCUAUGUUCCUUUGGGGUCACCCGUCCCUCAUGAAAACUGAACACAAGUGUACAAUGGACACACAGGUUUGAUAUCCCAAAAAUCAAGAACUUUUCGAAUUUUUGGUAUAUUUUUAAUACUACAUUCAUAUAGGGGUGUGUGGCACCCAAGAGCCACAAAUCCUCGUCCAUACGCAUAGUAACAUGUUCAGAUAUAUGUAUUACCAUGAAAGGUACACACAAUAACAUUGAUACUACAAACAAGCAAAACAAAAAAGAAACGCGAAGUACACACUCAAUGCAAAAAGGUGCACACAAUUAUAUAUGAUAAGUACACACAUGGUAGUAUGGAACUACACAUGCACUAACAUGAGAAAAACACAUGCUAACACUAGGAAGUGCACACUAAUGUAAAAAGUGUACACUAACAUGAAAGUACAUACAUGAUAACAUGAAAUAUAUACUAAUGCAAAAAGUGGACUCACCAACAUGAGAAGUACAUUUGUGCGCCAAAUAAAAUCACCGAAAGCUAUUAACAAGGGUUCCAAUCUCCGGCAUAUUUACACGACACAAUGAUAAAAAACCAUUGGCUAGGUAUUAAAGGAAAACCAUUGGCUAUUUUAAACUCUUGGUUUAUAUACACACAAAAUUGAUAAAAUCCUAAAAUAAUUCUAGAAAAUUACGAAAACACUGAUGCCAAGCCAGGUUCUUGUUAACCAAUCUUUUUUUUUAGUUUUUUUUUGUAGAACUACCUUUCCAGCGUAACAUUUUGUUAGUUUUUUAGAGAUACCAAUCUCACAUGGGGAGCGCUACGCGUCUACCGGCAAAUGUUUAGUAAACAUCCACCACCUCGACAACUGUCGGAUCUUCGCGCGGGAGCCGUUCGAUCAAGUUCCUCGCACGCGGCUCAUCGGUGUCCCGACACACUAAUUCCUGAAACAACGGCUGCGUUGCAGAAACAACUACCAUGUUGCAAAAAUUUGGAGAUUGCGGAGACAAUUCUGAAACAACGACCGUGUUGCAGAAACAAUUCCUGAAACAAUGGCUGCGUUGCAAAAACAACUACCAUGUUGCAGAAAACUUUGAAGAUCCACCCUCGAACACCCGCACACGAAAGCGGCGGUGCCUCCAGCAUCUCUUCAGAAAAGCUCGGCUGUGGGUGUCUCCAACAUCUCCGAGCAGGUCCCUGAUUGUGUGCGUAAUGGAGAAGGAUGGGUCGCUGAGGAAGGAAGAAAGAAGCAAAAGAAAACAAAAGAUGUGGAUGGGAGCAGUCGGACGAGAAGAUAAGGCAGGAUGCAAAGCGGUGCACACCCACUGGGACAUGCGUCGCCCGUGGAAGACGGCGGACGAGUGAGAGAAAAUCCGCCGGUUGACACCAAGCGUUUUCCAUCUCACAUUUUGUUAGUAAUAUAAUUGGGUUUUGAUCUGAUUUAUAUUCUACAUGUGGGCCUGAACUUUGAAGAUGGGCUGCGCCAUUCCUUAAUGGGCCAGAGCUCGUUCAUUGUGGUUUUCGGAGCUUGAGAAGUGUUGGCUUUUCGCACAAAGAAGAAAUUGUUGCUCCACAGAAACACCUUCUGCGAGCAGAACAUACAGCAAAAAGAUACUACCACAGGAUCAAGCUUCUGACGCGUGUCUCUCUACAUAUUGAUUCAAAAGUACUCCUUCUAAGUAGUAUCUUUUAAAAUACUGGAGUAAGUCAUUAAUUUACCAAAAAGUAGCAAGAACUGAAAUUUGGCAAUCUAGCUCUCGCACUUGAAUCCUACUACCCCUAGCAUCAGCGGAAAAGAGCCUCUAAAGAGAAACCGAUUCGAACUAAGCAGCAGAGAACAAUGAAACUACACAAACUGAAGCAGAAGCUCAGGUGAGCUCUGAAACUACAUGAACUUUACCAAGUAGAACAAGUAAGGGAGUGGAAUAAAAGAAACCAGACUACUCACAGGUAAAAGCAACAAGGCUUCAAGUAGCGUCCGGAGGCUGCAAAUCUGCACCGGAGAAGAGUGGAGAGUGGUCGCACAACCAGAGCAACCGAACAUAGUGAAUCGGAAACUGGUAACGAUCCAGUAGUAAAGCAAAGAGUGGUAGCUGGGACCUGGGAAUAUGCUACUGGGAUGUGCGG